AUGCACAACAUGGCCAUCCCUGAGGUGGCAAGAGAAGUACUCGCACCAGCCUGGCAGAUGGUACGCGACAGCGGCACACAGGAGGCGCAGACGCAGCACUGGGAGGAUCCAAGGCAUCAGAGGAAGAAGCCGCUGAGGAAAAGUUCUAGAAGCACAAAGGACAUUGAGCACCUAGAGAAGCUCAGGUUGGGAACACAAACACUGAUAAACCCAACACCUGCAGUUAUCCUGACAGUCUCAGCUACAGCCUGUGGUUCUGCUGAAGACACUUCUCGGGGUCCACAUGUACAGUGCAUGUUAUUGUUGUCCUUUACAUGUGUUUGUUGUCUGACUUCCUGUAAACUCACUGAGGCCUGAGCAUGUUGUUUGGUGUUCACAGAUCAAGGUGUAUGUGCGGCCACAUGGCUGCACUGUGCCCUAUGCAAUGUUUAUGUUGCAUUCUGAUAUCUCCAACAUGCCCCCAUUUCAGCAUUUAAAUGUGAAACUACAGCAAGAGGAAGCUUCUUGGGAUUUUGUUGCCUCAGGAACCCAGUCAUAAAAUUAUAAUCCAUAAAACCAAUCAAUGAAUGACUGACAACUGUCUGUCAACAAUUUUGACACGACAAAUAAUCUUGAAUCAUAUCGAGAAGAGGGAAAUUAGUACUAUUUUUACUAUUAUUAUCUUCAACUGUUCUCCCAAAUCUUCAUCAGAUUUCUGAAUAGCUGUCAAUGCCAAUUAUGCUGGCCACUGUCUUUUUGACCGGACAUCAUCUUCAUUUUAUUCCCAUGGGCACCACAGCAAGUUACAUGCUAUGAUCCUGACAAACAUCCUGCCCUGGCUGCCAGCACAAACCUGGUACCUGAGUCUUCUCCUUGUUGCAUCGGUGUACACAGAGCAACUCUUUGCGAUAUUUUAAUUUGCCAAUAUUUUGUGACAGUGUAGUUGUUCUUACUAUGCAGUUAAAAGAGAAAUCAGGAGCCUUUCAAAAGGUGAAAUAUUUUGAGUGGAUGAAAAUCAUACCUUUAAGAGACAUGUACUUACAAAUGCAAGUCCUGCUCAUGCCCUGUUGAAAAUUAGGAAGGACAGCAGACACAUUGUGAUAGCCAUAGGAGGGACCUGGUAUGUGUUUCUAUGUGCUUUUCUUUCUGUAAUAGUGAUAAUAUUUAUACAAUCAGGAAGAAUAGUUAAGAGGAGAAAGCUUGGGAAAAAAAUAACACUUCAGUGGAAAGGUAUUUCCACUUGCAGCAGACAUAGUUAAUGUUUUAUUGAUAACGUGAUCUUGCUACCUGCUAUACAUAACCUUUGCUUCAUUUCCUUCUCAUGCUGCAAGAAGUCUAUCAUUCACCUUUUUCUUUAAGCCUACAUCUGUCUUACACAGUAUUCUCAGUACAUUGCACUGUAACAGCAUCAUCUCUCAUAUUAAUAAGUUGACAGCUAAAUGCCUGCUCUUCAAGCCCUCUCAGUGGGUAGAGGGCUGCCACAAAAUUCUGGAGGUACAUGAACAUCUGAGACUCUUGAGCUAGGAAGGAAGAAUUGCUGAUAAGCUGCAAAAGCAAUCAAUUUGUUCUGUUCCCUUCGCCCCUUCCUUACCCAAGUGAAAGAACGAAGGUGCAGGCUGAACAGUAAGGGUGACAGAAAUAUUUGUGUACAAAGCAAAGUCACGCUUCUUUCCAAAGUUGCUAGGAUGGAUAUCUAAAUGCCAAUGAAAUAGUAGGUUCAGCACCUACAGUAAGUUGGCAUCUAUUCAAUUAGCAUAAACUUCACUUCUGUGCAAAGACCUAUGCACUAUUUCAGUAUCCCUUGGCUUCACUACUGGCCCUUUUCAUGGGAAUAAAUGUGUCCCUCAGUACA
This is a long non-coding RNA of Anser brachyrhynchus (Pink-footed goose), 1831 nucleotides long. The record is from Ensembl. Lineage: Eukaryota; Metazoa; Chordata; Aves; Anseriformes; Anatidae.